This 495-nucleotide ribosomal RNA is filed under the name uncultured bacterium. Its description in RNAcentral is "partial 16S ribosomal RNA". It matches the Rfam family "Bacterial small subunit ribosomal RNA", at positions 28 to 507 of the family's 1533-position model. The record is from RNAcentral.
GACGAACGCUGGCGGCGUGCCUAAUACAUGCCAGUAGAACGCUGAAGGAGGAGCUUGCUCUUCUGGAUGAGUUGCGAACGGGUGAGUAACGCGUAGGUAACCUGCCUGGUAGCGGGGGAUAACUAUUGGAAACGAUAGCUAAUACCGCAUAACAGUAGAUGUUGCAUGACAUUUACUUAAAAGGUGCAAUUGCAUCACUACCAGAUGGACCUGCGUUGUAUUAGCUAGUUGGUGGGGUAACGGCUCACCAAGGCGACGAUACAUAGCCGACCUGAGAGGGUGAUCGGCCACACUGGGACUGAGACACGGCCCAGACUCCUACGGGAGGCAGCAGUAGGGAAUCUUCGGCAAUGGACGGAAGUCUGACCGAGCAACGCCGCGUGAGUGAAGAAGGUUGUCGGAUCGUAAAGCUCUGUUGUGAGAGAAGAACGAGUGUGAGAGUGGAAAGUUCACACUGUGACGGUAUCUUACCAGAAAGGGACGGCUAACUACGUG